Non-coding RNA from Ictidomys tridecemlineatus (thirteen-lined ground squirrel), 69 nucleotides. Lineage: Eukaryota; Metazoa; Chordata; Mammalia; Rodentia; Sciuridae. The record is from Rfam.
GGAGAUGUGGCUCAGUGGUAGAGCACUUGUCUAGCAUGUGGGAAGCCCUGGGUUCAAUCCUCAGCACCA